RNAcentral lists this unclassified non-coding RNA (495 nucleotides) under Eugenia uniflora (Surinam cherry). Its description in RNAcentral is "partial external transcribed spacer". The record is from RNAcentral. Lineage: Eukaryota; Viridiplantae; Streptophyta; Magnoliopsida; Myrtales; Myrtaceae.
GCAUGGCUUNAUCUUUGAGACAAGCAUAUGACUACUGGCAGGAUCAACCAGGUAGCAUUCCUUCACGACGUCCGCCGAGCAUUGUCCAUCGUUGAGAAGCCCGAGAGCUACACGAGGUCAAAAACAAGGCAAGAGCGUCAUUUCGGUGAAGAGCGAUAAACGCUUCAGAUUGGGAACAAGGGCCAAUGACCCUAGAACCCACGAAAAACGGUCCGCAUCCGAGAGAACAAGUGAAGCACUCACGUUCCGUGCGAACAAUCAAAAGAGAUGUGCUCGAGGAACGCAAGCCCCACUAUCUGAUCCAACCGAGCACCCAAAGAGGGUGUCGCGUUGAAAUGGACAAACAAUAGGCACAAAUUUCCGUCGCGAUAGGUAUGCAGCACAGGAACCCGCUUUUUGCAUCCACAUAGCUCGUGGAGCGAAACUUGAUCGAAAGUGAGGGGAGCAGUUCGAUGCACCAGCACGGAGCCUGCCAACACACACUUUCUUAUCACC